Molecule: ribosomal RNA, 2925 nt
Filed under: Escherichia coli
Lineage: Bacteria; Pseudomonadati; Pseudomonadota; Gammaproteobacteria; Enterobacterales; Enterobacteriaceae
Description: 23S ribosomal RNA
Rfam family: Bacterial large subunit ribosomal RNA
Source: RNAcentral
GGGUUGUGAGGUUAAGCGACUAAGCGUACACGGUGGAUGCCCUGGCAGUCAGAGGCGAUGAAGGACGUGCUAAUCUGCGAUAAGCGUCGGUGAGGUGAUAUGAACCGUUAUAACCGGCGAUUUCCGAAUGGGGAAACCCAGUGUGUUUCGACACACUAUCAUUAACUGAAUCCAUAGGUUAAUGAGGCGAACCGGGGGAACUGAAACAUCUAAGUACCCCGAGGAAAAGAAAUCAACCGAGAUUCCCCCAGUAGCGGCGAGCGAACGGGGAGGAGCCCAGAGCCUGAAUCAGUGUGUGUGUUAGUGGAAGCGUCUGGAAAGGCGUGCGAUACAGGGUGACAGCCCCGUACACAAAAAUGCACAUACUGUGAGCUCGAUGAGUAGGGCGGGACACGUGGUAUCCUGUCUGAAUAUGGGGGGACCAUCCUCCAAGGCUAAAUACUCCUGACUGACCGAUAGUGAACCAGUACCGUGAGGGAAAGGCGAAAAGAACCCCGGCGAGGGGAGUGAAAAAGAACCUGAAACCGUGUACGUACAAGCAGUGGGAGCCUCUUAAUGGGGUGACUGCGUACCUUUUGUAUAAUGGGUCAGCGACUUAUAUUCUGUAGCAAGGUUAACCGAAUAGGGGAGCCGAAGGGAAACCGAGUCUUAACUGGGCGUUAAGUUGCAGGGUAUAGACCCGAAACCCGGUGAUCUAGCCAUGGGCAGGUUGAAGGUUGGGUAACACUAACUGGAGGACCGAACCGACUAAUGUUGAAAAAUUAGCGGAUGACUUGUGGCUGGGGGUGAAAGGCCAAUCAAACCGGGAGAUAGCUGGUUCUCCCCGAAAGCUAUUUAGGUAGCGCCUCGUGAAUUCAUCUCCGGGGGUAGAGCACUGUUUCGGCAAGGGGGUCAUCCCGACUUACCAACCCGAUGCAAACUGCGAAUACCGGAGAAUGUUAUCACGGGAGACACACGGCGGGUGCUAACGUCCGUCGUGAAGAGGGAAACAACCCAGACCGCCAGCUAAGGUCCCAAAGUCAUGGUUAAGUGGGAAACGAUGUGGGAAGGCCCAGACAGCCAGGAUGUUGGCUUAGAAGCAGCCAUCAUUUAAAGAAAGCGUAAUAGCUCACUGGUCGAGUCGGCCUGCGCGGAAGAUGUAACGGGGCUAAACCAUGCACCGAAGCUGCGGCAGCGACACUAUGUGUUGUUGGGUAGGGGAGCGUUCUGUAAGCCUGUGAAGGUGUACUGUGAGGUAUGCUGGAGGUAUCAGAAGUGCGAAUGCUGACAUAAGUAACGAUAAAGCGGGUGAAAAGCCCGCUCGCCGGAAGACCAAGGGUUCCUGUCCAACGUUAAUCGGGGCAGGGUGAGUCGACCCCUAAGGCGAGGCCGAAAGGCGUAGUCGAUGGGAAACAGGUUAAUAUUCCUGUACUUGGUGUUACUGCGAAGGGGGGACGGAGAAGGCUAUGUUGGCCGGGCGACGGUUGUCCCGGUUUAAGCGUGUAGGCUGGUUUUCCAGGCAAAUCCGGAAAACCAAGGCUGAGGCGUGAUGACGAGGCACUACGGUGCUGAAGCGACAAAUGCCCUGCUUCCAGGAAAAGCCUCUAAGCAUCAGGUAACAUUAAAUCGUACCCCAAACCGACACAGGUGGUCAGGUAGAGAAUACCAAGGCGCUUGAGAGAACUCGGGUGAAGGAACUAGGCAAAAUGGUGCCGUAACUUCGGGAGAAGGCACGCUGAUAUGUAGGUGAAGCGACUUGCUCGUGGAGCUGAAAUCAGUCGAAGAUACCAGCUGGCUGCAACUGUUUAUUAAAAACACAGCACUGUGCAAACACGAAAGUGGACGUAUACGGUGUGACGCCUGCCCGGUGCCGGAAGGUUAAUUGAUGGGGUUAGCGGUAACGCGAAGCUCUUGAUCGAAGCCCCGGUAAACGGCGGCCGUAACUAUAACGGUCCUAAGGUAGCGAAAUUCCUUGUCGGGUAAGUUCCGACCUGCACGAAUGGCGUAAUGAUGGCCAGGCUGUCUCCACCCGAGACUCAGUGAAAUUGAACUCGCUGUGAAGAUGCAGUGUACCCGCGGCAAGACGGAAAGACCCCGUGAACCUUUACUAUAGCUUGACACUGAACAUUGAGCCUUGAUGUGUAGGAUAGGUGGGAGGCUUUGAAGUGUGGACGCCAGUCUGCAUGGAGCCGACCUUGAAAUACCACCCUUUAAUGUUUGAUGUUCUAACGUGGGCCCCUUACCGGGGUUGCGGACAGUGUCUGGUGGGUAGUUUGACUGGGGCGGUCUCCUCCUAAAGAGUAACGGAGGAGCACGAAGGUUGGCUAAUCCUGGUCGGACAUCAGGAGGUUAGUGCAAUGGCAUAAGCCAGCUUGACUGCGAGCGUGACGGCGCGAGCAGGUGCGAAAGCAGGUCAUAGUGAUCCGGUGGUUCUGAAUGGAAGGGCCAUCGCUCAACGGAUAAAAGGUACUCCGGGGAUAACAGGCUGAUACCGCCCAAGAGUUCAUAUCGACGGCGGUGUUUGGCACCUCGAUGUCGGCUCAUCACAUCCUGGGGCUGAAGUAGGUCCCAAGGGUAUGGCUGUUCGCCAUUUAAAGUGGUACGCGAGCUGGGUUUAGAACGUCGUGAGACAGUUCGGUCCCUAUCUGCCGUGGGCGCUGGAGAACUGAGGGGGGCUGCUCCUAGUACGAGAGGACCGGAGUGGACGCAUCACUGGUGUUCGGGUUGUCAUGCCAAUGGCACUGCCCGGUAGCUAAAUGCGGAAGAGAUAAGUGCUGAAAGCAUCUAAGCACGAAACUUGCCCCGAGAUGAGUUCUCCCUGACUCCUUGAGAGUCCUGAAGGAACGUUGAAGACGACGACGUUGAUAGGCCGGGUGUGUAAGCGCAGCGAUGCGUUGAGCUAACCGGUACUAAUGAACCGUGAGGCUUAACCUUACAACGCCGAAG